This 349-nucleotide long non-coding RNA is filed under the name Junco hyemalis (dark-eyed junco). RNAcentral's name for it is "lncRNA (ENSJHYG00000002678.1)". The record is from RNAcentral. Lineage: Eukaryota; Metazoa; Chordata; Aves; Passeriformes; Passerellidae.
UAAUAUUACAGAGAUAGUAAAUGUACUCAUUCUUUUUAUGCAGCUCAAGUGACAUUGAGGAGAAACCAUGCAAUUAUCCAACUGUACUGACACCAUUAGGGAGCUUGAGCUGGAUCACAGGGAGCUGGACUGGCAAACACACAGAGCUCAUUGCUGAACUACAGGAGUUGGACACAAGCUUUGAGGCCAUGUGGUUGAAUCCAAGAGUGAUCCUCCAUCCCUGGACCAGAGACAUCCCCAUGGAACCUUCAUCCUUGGCCUGGUACCAGCUGUGGGGUGAAAUGGGUAAGAGCACUUUUUAGGUAGCUGCACAGAUGGUGUUUCCUAACCAAACCUUGCAUUGUCUCCA